CGGACAGCAAUAGUGAAGGUCAGGCUGAAGACCUUACCCGAUUAGCUGAGAGGUGGUGCAUGGCCGUCGUCAGUUCGUACUGUGAAGCAUCCUGUUAAGUCAGGCAACGAGCGAGACCCACGUCCACAGUUGCCAGCAUACCCUCCGGGGUGAUGGGUACACUGUGGAGACCGCCGCUGCUAAAGCGGAGGAAGGAGUGGGCAACGGUAGGUCAGUAUGCCCCGAAUCUCCCGGGCUACACGCGGGCUACAAUGGUUGGUACAAUGGGCAUCUACCCCGAAAGGGGAAGGAAAUCUCUUAAAGCCAAUCGUAGUUCGGAUUGAGGGCUGCAACUCGCCCUCAUGAAGCUGGAAUCCGUAGUAAUCGCGUUUCAACAGAACGCGGUGAAUACGUCCCUGCUCCUU
Molecule: ribosomal RNA, 404 nt
Filed under: uncultured Methanosaeta sp.
Lineage: Archaea; Methanobacteriati; Methanobacteriota; Methanomicrobia; Methanotrichales; Methanotrichaceae
Description: bacterial SSU rRNA
Rfam family: Archaeal small subunit ribosomal RNA
Source: RNAcentral